GACGAACGCUGGCGGCGUGCUUAACACAUGCAAGUCGAACGGUAAGGCCCUUCGGGGUACACGAGUGGCAAACGGGUGAGUAACACGUGGGUGAUCUGCCCUGCACUUCGGGAUAAGCCUGGGAAACUGGGUCUAAUACCGGAUAGGACCACUGCCUGCAUGGGUGGUGGGGGACAGCUUUUGCGGUGUGGGAUGGGCCCGCGGCCUAUCAGCUUGUUGGGGGGGUGAUGGCCUACCAAGGCGACGACGGGUAGCCGGCGUGAGAGGGGGACCGGCCACACUGUGACUGAGAUACGGCCCAGACUCCUACGGGAGGCAGCAGUGGGGAAUAUUGCACAAUGGGCGCAAGCCUGAUGCAGCGACGCCGCGUGAGGGAUGACGGCCUUCGGGUUGUAAUCCUCUUUCAGCACCGACGAAGCGCAAGUGACGUUAGGUGCAGAAGAAGGACCGGCCAACUACGUGCCAGCCGCCGCGGUAA
Molecule: ribosomal RNA, 478 nt
Filed under: uncultured bacterium
Lineage: Bacteria
Description: partial 16S ribosomal RNA
Rfam family: Bacterial small subunit ribosomal RNA
Source: RNAcentral